AAUUUUGGAUCAUGGGGGCAACCCUGAUCCAGCCAUCCCGCGUGUGCGAUGUAGGCCGNCGGGUUNUNAAGCACUCUUGGCUGGGNGGCAAAGCCGCGGGUUAAUACCCUGCGUUGCUGUCGGUACUUGAUGAGGAAUCCCGGGCCUACUACGUGCCAGCAGUCGCGGUAGUACGUAGGGGGCGAGCGUUGUCUGGAAUCAUUGGGCGUAAAGGGUGCGUAGGCGGCCUUUUAGGUGAGGUGUGAAAGACCACAGCUUAACGGUGGGGUUGCAUUUGAAAAUGGAAGGCUUGAGUAUCAGAGAGGGUGGUGGAAUACCCGGUGUAGCGGUGAAAUGCGUAGAAAUCGGGAGGAACACCAGUGGCGAAGACGACUACCUGGACGAUAACUGACGCUGAGGCACGAAAGCUAGGGUAGCAAAC
Molecule: ribosomal RNA, 421 nt
Filed under: uncultured bacterium
Lineage: Bacteria
Description: partial 16S ribosomal RNA
Rfam family: Bacterial small subunit ribosomal RNA
Source: RNAcentral